Molecule: ribosomal RNA, 468 nt
Filed under: uncultured bacterium
Lineage: Bacteria
Description: partial 16S ribosomal RNA
Rfam family: Bacterial small subunit ribosomal RNA
Source: RNAcentral
GACGAACGCUGGCGGCGUGCUUAACACAUGCAAGUCGAACGGAAAGGCCCUGCUUUUGUGGGGUGCUCGAGUGGCGAACGGGUGAGUAGCACGUGAGUAACCUGCCCUUGACUUUGGGAUAACUUCAGGAAACUUGGGCUCAUACCGGAUAGGAGCUCCUGCUUCAUGGUGGGGGUUGGAUAGUUUCGGCGGUUGGGGAUGGACUCGCGGCUUAUCAGCUUGUUGGUGGGGUAGUGGCUUACCAAGGCUUUGACGGGUAGCCGGCCUGAGAGGGUGACCGGCCACAUUGGGACUGAGAUACGGCCCAGACUCCUACGGGAGGCAGCAGUGGGGAAUAUUGCACAAUGGGAGGAAGCCUGAUGCAGCAAAGCCGCGUGCGGGAUGACGGCCUUCGGGUUGUAAACCGCUUUCGCCUGUGACGAAGCGUGAGUGACGGUAAUGGGUAAAGAAGCACCGGCUAACUACGUG